GGGUUGUGAGGUUAAGCGACUAAGCGUACACGGUGGAUGCCCUGGCAGUCAGAGGCGAUGAAGGGCGUGCUAAUCUGCGAUAAGCGCCGGUAAGGUGAUAUGAACCGUUAUAACCGGCGAUACCCGAAUGGGGAAACCCAGUGUGACUCGUCACACUAUCAUUAACUGAAUCCAUAGGUUAAUGAGGCGAACCGGGGGAACUGAAACAUCUAAGUACCCCGAGGAAAAGAAAUCAACCGAGAUUCCCCCAGUAGCGGCGAGCGAACGGGGAGGAGCCCAGAGCCUGAAUCAGCAUGUGUGUUAGUGGAAGCGUCUGGAAAGGCGCGCGAUACAGGGUGACAGCCCCGUACACAAAAGCGCAUGUGCUGUGAGCUCGAUGAGUAGGGCGGGACACGUGGUAUCCUGUCUGAAUAUGGGGGGACCAUCCUCCAAGGCUAAAUACUCCUGACUGACCGAUAGUGAACCAGUACCGUGAGGGAAAGGCGAAAAGAACCCCGGCGAGGGGAGUGAAAAAGAACCUGAAACCGUGUACGUACAAGCAGUGGGAGCCCCACCACCAAAGCAUUUGCUGUACCGCGUUGACGGAGC
RNAcentral lists this ribosomal RNA (588 nucleotides) under Salmonella enterica subsp. enterica serovar Enteritidis. RNAcentral describes it as "partial 23S ribosomal RNA". It matches the Rfam family "Bacterial large subunit ribosomal RNA", at positions 1 to 594 of the family's 2925-position model. The record is from RNAcentral. Lineage: Bacteria; Pseudomonadati; Pseudomonadota; Gammaproteobacteria; Enterobacterales; Enterobacteriaceae.